CCUACGGGAGGCAGCAGUAAGGAAUAUUGGGCAAUGGAGGCAACUCUGACCCAGCCAUGCCGCGUGAAGGAUGAAGGCCCUAUGGGUUGUAAACUUCUUUUGUACGGGAAUAAACCUGGUUACGUGUAACCAGUUGAAUGUACCGUAAGAAUAAGCACCGGCUAACUCCGUGCCAGCAGCCGCGGUAAUACGGAGGGUGCAAGCGUUAUCCGGAUUUAUUGGGUUUAAAGGGAGCGUAGGCGGGAUUGUAAGUCAGUGGUGAAAGCCCGUAGCUCAACUACGGAACUGCCAUUGAUACUGCAGACCUAGAGUACACUUGAAGUGGGCGGAAUGUGUCAUGUAGCGGUGAAAUGCUUAGAUAUGACACAGAACACCAAUUGCGAAGGCAGCUCACUAAAUUGUAACUGACGCUGAGGCUCGAUAGCGUGGGGAUCAAACAGGAUUAGAUACCCUGGUAGUCCACGCCGUAAACGAUGAUUACUCGAUGUUGCGAUACACUGUCNGCGUCUGAGACGAAGACAUUAAGUAAUACCACCGUAGGGUAGGUACGGUCGCGAGACGUAGAACGUACGAAAGAAGUUAGUACGGCGUAGAGACGACCGACGACGACGACGAGGGAGGAGG
This 624-nucleotide ribosomal RNA is filed under the name uncultured bacterium. Its description in RNAcentral is "bacterial SSU rRNA". The stretch from base 1 to 536 matches the Rfam family "Bacterial small subunit ribosomal RNA", at positions 338 to 873 of the family's 1533-position model. The record is from RNAcentral.